RNAcentral lists this ribosomal RNA (247 nucleotides) under uncultured bacterium. RNAcentral describes it as "partial small subunit ribosomal RNA". It matches the Rfam family "Bacterial small subunit ribosomal RNA", at positions 26 to 285 of the family's 1533-position model. The record is from RNAcentral.
AGAAUCAACGCUGGCGGCGUGCCUAACACAUGCAAGUCGAACGAGAAAGUGGUAGCAAUACCAUGAGUAAAGUGGCGCACGGGUGAGUAACACGUGACUAACCUACCCUUGAGUGGGGGAUAACUGAGGGAAACCUUAGCUAAUACCGCAUAAUACCCACGGAUCAAAGGAGCAAUUCGCUUUCGGAGGGGGUCGCGGCUGAUUAGCUAGUUGGCGGGGUAACGGCCCACCAAGGCUUUGAUCGGUA